CCUGGCGCAGCUGAUGGGAAGGCUUGUAAACCAAAAAAAAAAUUCAAAGACCUCCCGGCAACCAUCUGAAUGGGCUUCCCUGUCUGCCACGGCGCUCUAAACUUUAACCUGGAAGACGUUCGGGCCAUGCCACAGCAUCCCCCGCCAGCAUUAACACCGAUGCAGGCCUUAAGUCUGAUAGGAAGCGUUUACCAUCUAUUUUCUCUCUAAAGUCCGCUACCUGGAGGCGCCGCCUGCUCUCCACAGCCUCUAUUUCAUAACCCAGACACUCCUUUCUGCUGAUACGAACUCUUCAAUCAGUUGACAGUCAGAACAUGUUUAAAUCUCCCUAUGACCUAGAAGCCCCCAAUUCGAGCUGUCCCAGCCUUCCAGAUGGAACCAACGUUCGAUAGAUGCUCAUGUCUUCCUAAAAUGUAUAAAAGCAAGCUGUGCCUCCAUCACCUUGGGCACUUGUGGUCAGGGGUACACCCUGAUGUCCUCCCUCCUGAGGCUGUGCCUCGGGUGCGUCCUUCGCCUUGGCAACAAAAACUUUCUAAACUAAUUGAGACCCGUUUCAGGUACUUUUUGGUUUACAGGCUCAACUUAGCAAACAAACCUGCACGGUACACAGACACACACAAGGCAGGGGUUGCACAGUGAGUUUCGGCAUGCCGCAUUCCAGAGAUGUAUAGAAAUUCUAGUUAUGUAUACGUUUUAGGUUGAAAGGAGGCCUGGAACCAGGUGCCGACUUUAGAUAAUAGAGAAGUCUAAUUACUUCUACCUUUCCCAAAUACGGAGGUUCCCCCCACAGCCCCUGGGGCCUGCCUGAUGGCCACCAGGUGAUCUUUGCUCUCCUCAAUUUCCCUCUGACAACUAUCUUGGUGAAAUCUCUGACCCUUCCUUUUCCGCCAUGCUCAUGUCCACCUGCUUCCUGUUGGGGUCUUGAGAAAGGGGAACUGGCACAGUGAAGAGGGGUGUCCAGUGCGCCUGGCUACUUCCUGCUGAAAGGGAGUUCGGGGGACAGGUCGCGGUUUUCCCUUUCUUGCUCUCGGUCGUGAAGGGAAUAAAGGGUCAUGAAAGCUUGUGCACGGAGGCGCGUGACAGGAUUCCAUCAAGAAGCCCCAUGUAAAUCGAGCUGCCGUUGCAGGCCGGUAUUGGGACUGCAUAGCCGUCUGCAGGUGGAAUUGUUGUCAUCUGGAACAUAGAGACUUAACGAGAGCAUUAAAAAAGGCAGGGACCAAAUAUUAAAAGAAAAAUCGCCGAAGAUAAAGGUCUGAGGAACGGGAGAAGCCAAGGGGUUUUUUGAAAACCAGUCAGGAAAAGUUUGGGCCCAGUCUUGGUUACUUUGGGAAAGUGUGUGUAGCCAUUUGGCUUGUUUGAAGAUUUCUUGGGCAUCGGUUUCCACUUCUCCAGACACAUUAAUGUAGGUGCAACAGGUCCUGUUGAUGACGGCACGGACCCCUCCUUGUUCAGCCAGGAGAUGAUCCAGAACUCACCUGUUUCCGAGCCCCGAGCUCCUGCUGGCAAGUCUAACGACUUGUAGAGCUGACAGGCGGGUGCCAGCGUUUGCUACUUCAAGGGAGGCGGUAGGUUCUCGUAGUUGUGAUUUCCCGGUAAGUAAAACCUCCCCAAGGGGUAAGAGUUGUGAUAGUUCCCACAACUCCCGUCACAAUAAGUCCCAGGGCCCUUUUCCUUCUGAAUAGAAUUCUGAAUUGGAAGUGAUGCUCAAGGCAGUGAUUUGGGUGGGAGCUGUUGUUCCCAGACUACAAUCACCACAGUGAAGAGAAUGAUCAAGGUGGGAUAGGGCCGAAGUUGGAAAAGGGUUUCACCAUGUUGCCCAGGCUGGUCUCGAACUCUUGACCUCAAGUGAUCCGUCUGCCUCGGCCUCCCAAAGUGCUGGGAUUAUAGGUGUGACCCACUGCGUCGCCUAAGAUAAGAUCUUUAUAAGUGCUAGAGAGGCUCUUUGUGCUGGGAGUUAAGAUAAGACCCCAAAAUUGAACACCCUGUGUGGAUAUUUGUACCUGAGAAGGAGAUACUUUGUACCUAUAAUCAGCAAGUUUGUUUAGUACUAAUACUGUGUUUUGGUCUGGAGCAGCUUUGCUAGGACCACAGAUUAUAGGUCAUCUACAUACUGGAGUAGAUUGCCAUCUGGGUGAAGUUGCAGUGUGGACAGGUCUUUAACUAGGGCCUGUCUAAAAAGGCGGGAGCUAUCUCUGAAUCCCUGGGGCAGAACUGUCCAAGUCAACUCUUGAGUUAUUUGAGUAUCUGGGUCUUGCCGUUCAAAAGCAAACAAAUAUUUGCUAUCUAAGCGUACAGGAAUGCAGAAAAACACAUUCUUAAGAUCAAGAACUGUAAAACAAGCUGUGGUGGAGGGAAUCUGUCCAACAAGGGUGCAAGGGUUUGGGACAACAGGAUGAAUAGGUAUAACAGCUUCGGUAAUGACUCUAAGGUAAGAGCCAUCUGGUUUCUUUACAGCUAAAACAAGAGUGUUGCAAGGCGAGCUGCAUGGGUACACUCAUCUACCGGUCAGACGUUUUUGUUAUUAGAGGUUUUAGCCCUUUUCAUGCUUCUGGUUUCAAGGGGUAUUGGGGGGUUCUGGGGAACUCACUGGGAUUUUUAAGCUGAAUGACAACAGGAGCAGCUGAUAUUGAACAGCCAGGAAUAGAAGCUUUCCAAACCUCAAAUGGCACUUGUUUUAGAAUGUGAGGUUCUAUAGAUUGUAGCAGCUCUGUUGGUGAUGUGUGAGUGAAAACAGCUAGAAGGUGAAGCCUUAGCUACAAAUUAGCUUGUAAUUUUGUGAGUAAGUCAUGCCCUAAUAAUGGAACAGGGCAGUUCGGCAGGACUGAAAAGGAGUGGGUAAAGGAAUAGCCUUCCAUUUGACAAGGGAGUGGUGGUGUGAAACAGCCUCAUUGGGAUUUUCCAUCCACACCUGUGAGGAAAAUGAAGGACUAGCACGUUGGGCCACAGUAAAUGUUUGAAGCUGAAUAACUGGCCCCUGUAUCUCCGAGAAACGCUGCCUCUUGUUCAGCCUCAAUCAGAUUUCCCCAGGGCUCCUCCAUAGAGAGAGGUUAGGGCCACACAGUCCCAUCAGUCAUCUGGAGAAUGACUUUCAGAGGCUUGGAGAGAGUGAGGGUGCCCGUUCUUGCCCUCAUCCUAGUCCUUGUUCUGCAGGACUCCCUUGUUGGGUAGGUUGGCAAGGCUGUGGCUGUGAUGGCCCAGAAGGAAGAAGUGUCCCACGCCCUGUCAUGGGGGAGAGAGGGAAAUGCACUCUUCCAACGACCCUCUUGUUUGCAGUGAGGACAGGGUCCUGGGGGCAGCUUGUAACCCAGAGGUUUGGGAUACUCUGUACUCUAGUGUCCUGGAUUCCUGAAAUAAUGACAGGCCCCUGUUCUGCUAGUGUUAUAGGGACAAGCCUUGGGGUCAGUAGCAAAUGAAAAGAAUGUGCCAAUGCUGUUGCCGUGUCAGCAGCUUGACCCUGCCAUUUUUCCUCCUCCAACUGAGCCUUGGCCCUCAGGGGUUCUGGGGUCUAAAUUGGUGUAUUUAUGCAUGGCCUACACCAGCCUAGUUUGGAAAAGGGCAGGGGUUCUCAGGUGGCUCCUGAGUGAUUUCUCGUAAUUUAGAAAAAUUAACAGGGUUUAUUAGAUCUUUUUUCAUUUCUUCCAACAAGUAAGUUAUAAUCUCAUCUGCCCCUGCCUCUGUCUGGACCACCUCAGCAGCCUGGUAUUGCCAGUGGGCUCUGUGUUGGGGACAGAUUUUUCCCAGCUCUCUUAUCAUUAGGGUUAUGAGCAUGAGCUUUAUCUGCCCCAGCUUGAGCUAAAGACCACAUGUGUGAUUUUUCUUCAUGGGAACAGCAAGUAGUUAACACCACGAAUAUGUCUUACCAGAUUAAAUCAAAGACAAUAACUAAAGCUCGAAAUUCUUGAAUGAACUUAGUGGGAUCCUAGCUAAGUGAACCCAGUGUGGAUUUGAGAAAGAUCAGACGUUGGAAAAGGGACAUGAACUCGAAUUGUUCCCAAAUCUCCGUUUGCCACCUCGUGGAGAGAGUUUGUGGGUCAAAAUGAGACCAGUUUUGAAGAAUGCAAUCCGAGGACGAGUAGACGGAAUUGAAGAAAGAAUUGGAUCCAUGCUGGGUUCAGAUCAGCUACUGUAAGAUCCCCGAGGUGUCCCUGAGGGACUUGGACCUCGCCUCUUUGGCUCACUCUAUUCGGGGGCGUCCACCACAGAUGGAGGGCCUGCCCUUGCCUGGAUGAUCACUCCAGGGCUUCAGGAUCCCCCUGAGGAGUGGUCUUGGCCAGGGCCCUCAGUUCCCGAGUAAAGAACCAGACCAUCAAGGGAAGCAGGGAGGGAAAAGAAGGGAGAGAUCCCAGUAAAGUCCCGUAUGCACAACCAAGGAGCCGGGCGAGGUGUUGGAGCCCCAGCAUCGGGAAGUGGCCGACUCGCGGGCUGGACGCAAGGUGUUCCCUCGUCCUCCGUCAAGGUAACCAGGAGAAGCUGUUACAACCACCAAGGGAGGGUGUUUCCUCAGGCCGAGAGCUUAUUGGGAGCUUCGGAGCUACUGACGACAGCAAGCUGCAGGGCAGUUCCCCAGAUGAAGUCACCAGCGGAACCAGCCGGCCUGCUACCUGACACACAAGGCCAAGAACUGAGUCUCUUUUAAAAAUUUAACUUGUUUUGUUAUGAUUGAUAUAAAAUAAUGCAAACAAUUUCUUUGGGUCUGAUGCCCGUCUCACUGAGGCAGGCAAGCCUGUCACCCUUAGGUGCUCUAGGAAGAUGAUGUGCGGCCUGCCAGUCUCGCGGUGCUCUCGCCGCUCCUGCCAGGCGUCCCCGCCGUGCACCAUUUUAAUUGAACCCCGGCUACACCAGCCUGUCGGGACAUCCAGGCUGCAGGUGGCCAUCAGGGGCAUUUGCCCUUUCACAGGCGGCAGCUGGGUUCCAAGAAAAGGGAGGAUUGGUGUAAAACCCACUGCCUCAACUGGAGGGCGGGACCCCUGGGCCACGGGGCCUGUGCAUGUAAUGCAGCGGUGCCUCGGGGGUGUCCAGCACAAGUUGCCCCCUCCAGGUCACGGCCUGAAUGGCAGGAGUUGGUUCUGGCACGUGAGGGUCCUGCCGAAUGGAUGCCACCCAGUGGCUCCUGAUGAUACGCCAUGUCCUGGGGUACCUGUUUGGGUACUGUACCCGGGUCUGGUGUGCCAUGAGGGCUGCCACACAUGCCUAUGCUGUGACCCCAUCCCUGGAACAACCCCUCCCAUGCUGAGCCUGCUGCUGCGCCCCUGCUCGGCACAGGUGCCUAUGCCCAGGACUGGGCGUAAAACCAAGCCCUGUGUGGACAGCCUGCCCAUGCUAGGCCGGGAGUCCAGCCGUGUGGAGGCAGGGCUGUCCCUGGACCUCUUGUCUGUGAAGUGGAGUACAGUUCUCACCUGGGGUGACAGGGCAGAUGUCCGGGGCCACGGGUGAUCACAGUAAUGAGGGUUGUGGUGGACAAAUCCGGCUUUGUCUCUCCCACCUGGGCCAAGGCCGCCCGAUGCGCUGCCCCCUCCCCAUGCGACCCUGGCCAGACUGAUGGUCCUCCCAGACAGGGGUGGGGGGCAUGUGGCGCACCUCCCUGGGAGUCAGCACAGCCCCCUAA
Long non-coding RNA from Cercocebus atys (sooty mangabey), 5605 nucleotides. RefSeq lists it as uncharacterized. The transcript is spliced from 5 exons. NCBI's taxonomy places the organism in Eukaryota, Metazoa, Chordata, Mammalia, Primates, Cercopithecidae. The record is from RefSeq and is a predicted model, not a curated record.